RNAcentral lists this ribosomal RNA (443 nucleotides) under uncultured bacterium. RNAcentral's name for it is "partial 16S ribosomal RNA". It matches the Rfam family "Bacterial small subunit ribosomal RNA", at positions 338 to 795 of the family's 1533-position model. The record is from RNAcentral.
CCUACGGGUGGCAGCAGUGGGGAAUAUUGGGCAAUGGGCGCAAGCCUGACCCAGCAAUGCCGCGUGAAGGAAGAAGGCCCUCGGGUUGUCAACCUCUUUUAUCAGGGACGAAGGAUGUGACGGUACCUGAUGAAUAAGCUCCGGCUAACUACGUGCCAGCAGCAGCGGUAAUACGUAGGGAGCAAGCGUUAUCCGGAUGUACUGGGUGUAAAGGGCGCGGAGGCGGGAUGGCAAGUCAGAUGUGAAAUCCAGGGGCUCAACCCCUGAACUGCAUUUGAAACUGUCGUUCUUGAGUGCUGGAGAGGUUGACGGAAGUCCUGGUGUAGCGGUGAAAGGCGUAGAUAUUAGGAGGAACACCGGUGGCGAAGGCGGCUUACUGGACUGUAACUGACGUUGAGGCACGAAAGCGUGGGGAGCAAACAGGAUUAGAUACCCCAGUAGUC